This 727-nucleotide ribosomal RNA is filed under the name uncultured bacterium. Its description in RNAcentral is "bacterial SSU rRNA". It matches the Rfam family "Bacterial small subunit ribosomal RNA", at positions 47 to 763 of the family's 1533-position model. The record is from RNAcentral.
CCUAACACAUGCAAGUCGAACGGUAACAGGAAGAAGCUUGCUUCUUUGCUGACGAGUGGCGGACGGGUGAGUAAUGUCUGGGAAACUGCCUGAUGGAGGGGGAUAACUACUGGAAACGGUAGCUAAUACCGCAUAACGUCGCAAAACCAAAGAGGGGGACCUUCGGGCCUCUUGCCAUCGGAUGUGCCCAGAUGGGAUUAGCUAGUAGGUGGGGUAACGGCUCACCUAGGCGACGAUCCCUAGCUGGUCUGAGAGGAUGACCAGCCACACUGGAACUGAGACACGGUCCAGACUCCUACGGGAGGCAGCAGUGGGGAAUAUUGCACAAUGGGCGCAAGCCUGAUGCAGCCAUGCCGCGUGUAUGAAGAAGGCCUUCGGGUUGUAAAGUACUUUCAGCGGGGAGGAAGGGAGUAAAGUUAAUACCUUUGCUCAUUGACGUUACCCGCAGAAGAAGCACCGGCUAACUCCGUGCCAGCAGCCGCGGUAAUACGGAGGGUGCAAGCGUUAAUCGGAAUUACUGGGCGUAAAGCGCACGCAGGCGGUUUGUUAAGUCAGAUGUGAAAUCCCCGGGCUCAACCUGGGAACUGCAUCUGAUACUGGCAAGCUUGAGUCUCGUAGAGGGGGGUAGAAUUCCAGGUGUAGCGGUGAAAUGCGUAGAGAUCUGGAGGAAUACCGGUGGCGAAGGCGGCCCCCUGGACGAAGACUGACGCUCAGGUGCGAAAGCGUG